UACGUAGGGUGCAAGCGUUGUCCGGAAUUAUUGGGCGUAAAGAGCUCGUAGGCGGUUUGUUGCGUCGGCUGUGAAAUCCCGAGGCUCAACCUCGGGUCUGCAGUCGAUACGAGCAAACUAGAGUGUUGCAGGGGAGAGUGGAAUUCCUGGUGUAGCGGUGAAAUGCGCAGAUAUCAGGAAGAACACCCGUGGCGAAGGCGGUUCUCUGGGACGGUACUGACGCUGAGACGCGAAAGCGUGGGGAGCGAACAGG
This 253-nucleotide ribosomal RNA is filed under the name uncultured bacterium. RNAcentral describes it as "partial 16S ribosomal RNA". It matches the Rfam family "Bacterial small subunit ribosomal RNA", at positions 524 to 776 of the family's 1533-position model. The record is from RNAcentral.